UACUAUCAUAUAUCGUGCUUGGAAGGAAGGAGCUCGAGGGGGGACGGGAGCGGAGCGACGGGGUAUAGUGACCGACCGAUGAGACCGCCGCAGCACGAUCUCGCCCUCUCACAAGGCCACAUGGUGCACGAGCACGAACCUUGCGGCAUGCACAGGUACCUCUACCUCUGGGGCAACCGCGUCCACUACCUACCGGACUAGUUCCCCGCCCUCAAACGCUGCGUCGACGUCCCGGAGGAGGCCCUGAGGGGGUUCCGGCCGGAGUAGUACCUGGUCUAGGAGGUGCGGAAGAGGGCCCGGUACGUGCGGCGGUUCCGACGCCGGCGACGGUGCCGACGAUGGUCGCCAUCACUCUCCAGGAGCCUGCACGUAUCGCUCCAGUGGCUACCACGCUCGCCGCCGGCCUUCUCCUUCAGGCGGCGGCGGCCUCCUUUGGCGUUCCGGACAGCCUCUUCCUGGGUCGUCAGCAGGCAGCAGUGCUUCUCACACUUCUCGAACCUGCUGCCCGUCCGUACCGCGUUCAUGCCCGUCUUCCUCUAUGUGUUGAGGUUCGUGAGCUCCAUGCAAAGAGACGGGCGGUUACUAGUAGUGAUGAUCAUUAUUUGGCGAUUUUUGGUGGUCCACCUUGCUGUUUGUCACGAGGAUGGUUGGUACGGACGUUAGUUAGGGAGCUGCAGCUGCCCAGAGGCAGUUGACUGUUCGCGGCCCGCACUUGCACAAAGAAGGCGUCCCGGAUGAAGGCCACGUGCGUGUUCAUGCUGGUCGACACGCGCCGCGUCGCCGUCCAGGUCGCGACGCUGCUGCUGCUCCCGUACAAGUCCCAGUGGAUGUAGCCGCACGUGUGGACGGCCCUGGGGCGGCGGCGGCGACACCGCAGCGUGUACGAGGUGGAGUGGCCGCGGCGGCUUCCGGACGUGCGGCCGACGGUGGAGUAGUCGAAGCGCGGGCCGUCGAGGUGGCGGCGGCGAGGGUCGUGCUGGUGCUGCUGCUACUGGAACUUGCGGUUCGACCAGCUGCUUCUGCGGCGCUGCCCCAGGCCGGACGUCCCGUACUUCGGACUCUCGCCGCUGGUCCUCCUCCACGACUCGUCGGCGUGGGGGCCCUUGAGACGGGUCGUGUCGUGGCGGCGCCGCCGCUGCCGCUGCCGAGGACGAACCGGGCUGGUCCCUCUGCACUGCAGGUGGGCCGUUAUGACACCGCGGCAAUUGAAACCUCUCAUGGAACUACUGAUGUGCAGGGAGCCCCUGGAUCACAGGAUGCAGGAGCUAGUAACUAGGCAGCUCGACACCUAGCUGGCUAAACAGCGCACAUUUACCUUUAUUACCGACACGCCUAGCAGCUAGUAGAACUCGCCGUUGGUGACGCUCAGCAUGAAAUCAAACAUGUCAAAUAAAAGCAGAGUACUGUUAAUCUUCGACUUUCAACCCAUAACAAAAUCAACUCGGCUCCGAAAACAGAGAGGGCUCACUGACUCUUCACUUGUCUUAAAAAUCAAAUAAAACGUGAGGUGAGGUGCUGAAAUACAUUUAAAAUCGAAGUACAAAGACUUAAAGGAAGAUAAGCUUCUUGUUAUUACGAUUUGUAUAUUUUUAAAUGUGCGUUAAUGU
RNAcentral lists this ribosomal RNA (1607 nucleotides) under Triticum aestivum (bread wheat). RNAcentral describes it as "partial small subunit ribosomal RNA". The record is from RNAcentral. Lineage: Eukaryota; Viridiplantae; Streptophyta; Magnoliopsida; Poales; Poaceae.